RNAcentral lists this ribosomal RNA (433 nucleotides) under uncultured bacterium. RNAcentral's name for it is "partial 16S ribosomal RNA". It matches the Rfam family "Bacterial small subunit ribosomal RNA", at positions 29 to 507 of the family's 1533-position model. The record is from RNAcentral.
AACGAACGCUGGCGGCAGGCCUAACACAUGCAAGUCGAGCGGACCUUUCGGGGUCAGCGGCGGACGGGUGAGUAACGCGUGGGAAUAUGCCCUUCUCUACGGAAUAGUCCUGGGAAACUGGGGGUAAUACCGUAUACGCCCUUUGGGGGAAAGAUUUAUCGGGGAAGGAUUAGCCCGCGUUGGAUUAGGUAGUUGGUGGGGUAAUGGCCUACCAAGCCGACGAUCCAUAGCUGGUUUGAGAGGAUGAUCAGCCACACUGGGACUGAGACACGGCCCAGACUCCUACGGGAGGCAGCAGUGGGGAAUCUUAGACAAUGGGGGCAACCCUGAUCUAGCCAUGCCGCGUGAGUGAUGAAGGCCUUAGGGUUGUAAAGCUAUUUCAGCUGGGAAGAUAAUGACGGUACCAGCAGAAGAAGCCCCGGCUAACUCCGUG